This 358-nucleotide unclassified non-coding RNA is filed under the name Inocybe sp. SB68. Its description in RNAcentral is "sequence contains 18S rRNA gene, ITS1, 5.8S rRNA gene, ITS2 and 28S rRNA gene". The record is from RNAcentral. Lineage: Eukaryota; Fungi; Basidiomycota; Agaricomycetes; Agaricales; Inocybaceae.
CCAUAUCCACACCCUGGAGGGUUUUGGAUUUGUUCCGAGUGGGGACUGCUGUGCUUCAAAGAAAAAAAAAAAAAGGUCGGUUUUCCCUUGAAUUUUUAGCCAGGUUUAUGUCUUUGCACACGAAGGCUUAAAAAAAUAAGAGCGUUGAAAUAGUGAAAAAUUUAAUAAAUUACCUUUUUCAAGAAGGUAUCUCUUGUCUUUCGAAUGGAAGAAAAACCCACCCAAGUCCAAAAAGUAAUGUGCAUUGGAAAUUUGGGGGACCCCCCGAAUUUUUAAACGUCUUCGGGCCUUUUUGAUUUUCAAGGGAGCAUCCCGGUUUGGGGUCGUUUAAAACCCCCAAACACCCUCGUCUUUAAAU